This 391-nucleotide unclassified non-coding RNA is filed under the name soil metagenome. RNAcentral describes it as "partial contains 5.8S ribosomal RNA, internal transcribed spacer 2, and large subunit ribosomal RNA". The stretch from base 1 to 122 matches the Rfam family "5.8S ribosomal RNA", at positions 35 to 154 of the family's 154-position model. The record is from RNAcentral.
GAUGAAGAACGCAGCGAAAUGCGAUACUUGGUGUGAAUUGCAGAAUCCCGUGAACCAUCGAGUCUUUGAACGCAAGUUGCGCCCGAAGCCAUUAGGCCGAGGGCACGCCUGCCUGGGCGUCACACGUCGUUGCCCCCCCAUCUACUCCUUCGGGAUUGCGGGGGGCGGAUGAUGGCCUCCCGUGCGCCUCGCCGCGCGGUUGGCAUAAAUGCCAAGUCCUCGGCGACGCACGCCACGACAAUCGGUGGUUGCGACACCUCGGUUGCCCGUCGUGUGCGGUCGUCGCGCAUCGAGGGCUCGAAAAAAUUGCCGGGUUCCGGCUCGGCUUUCAACGCGACCCCAGGUCAGGCGGGGUUACCCGCUGAAUUUAAGCAUAUCAAUAAGCGGAGGA